Molecule: non-coding RNA, 24 nt
Filed under: Mus musculus (house mouse)
Lineage: Eukaryota; Metazoa; Chordata; Mammalia; Rodentia; Muridae
Also listed under: 1 other name
Source: RNAcentral
UGACAGCCUCAAAGGAUGUUGUGA